AUUGAACGCUGGCGGCAGGCUUAACACAUGCAAGUCGAGCGGAGCGAGGGUGCUUGCACCUUAGCUUAGCGGCGGACGGGUGAGUAAUGCUUAGGAAUCUGCCUAUUAGUGGGGGACAACAUUCCGAAAGGAAUGCUAAUACCGCAUACGCCCUACGGGGGAAAGCAGGGGAUCUUCGGACCUUGCGCUAAUAGAUGAGCCUAAGUCGGGUUAGCUAGUUGGUGGGGUAAAGGCCUACCAAGGCGACGAUCUGUAGCGGGUCUGAGAGGAUGAUCCGCCACACUGGGACUGAGACACGGCCCAGACUCCUACGGGAGGCAGCAGUGGGGAAUAUUGGACAAUGGGCGGAAGCCUGAUCCAGCCAUGCCGCGUGUGUGAAGAAGGCCUUUUGGUUGUAAAGCACUUUAAGCGAGGAGGAGGCUACUUGGAUUAAUACUCUGGGAUAGUGGACGUUACUCGCAGAAUAAGCACCGGCUAACUCUGUGCCAGCAGCCGCCGUAA
Molecule: ribosomal RNA, 501 nt
Filed under: uncultured bacterium
Lineage: Bacteria
Description: partial 16S ribosomal RNA
Rfam family: Bacterial small subunit ribosomal RNA
Source: RNAcentral